UAAGGUUAAGUUAAUAAGGGCGCACGGUGGAUGCCUUGGCACUAGGAGCCGAAGAAGGACGUGACAAACGACGAUAUGCCUUGGGUAGCUGUAAGUAAGCGAUGAUCCAGGGAUUUCCGAAUGGGGGAACCCAACAGGUACUACCUGUUACCCGCAUCUGUUAAGGAUGUGAGGAGGAAGACGCAGUGAACUGAAACAUCUAAGUAGCUGCAGGAAGAGAAAGCAAAAGCGAUUGCCUUAGUAGCGGCGAGCGAAACGGCAGGAGGGCAAACCGAAGAGUUUACUCUUCGGGGUUGUAGGACUGCAAUGUGGACUCAAAGAUUAUAGAAGAAUGAUUUGGGAAGAUCAGCCAAAGAGAGUAAUAGCCUCGUAUUUAAAAUAGUCUUUGUACCUAGCAGUAUCCUGAGUACGGCGGGACACGUGAAAUCCCGUCGGAAUCUGGGAGGACCAUCUCCCAACCCUAAAUACUCCCUAGUGACCGAUAGUGAACCAGUACCGUGAGGGAAAGGUGAAAAGCACCCCGGGAGGGGAGUGAAAUAGAACCUGAAACCGUGUGCCUACAACAAGUUCGAGCCCGUUAAUGGGUGAGAGCGUGCCUUUUGUAGAAUGAACCGGCGAGUUACGAUAUGAUGCGAGGUUAAGUUGAAGAGACGGAGCCGCAGGGAAACCGAGUCUGAAUAGGGCGCCUUAGUAUCAUGUCGUAGACCCGAAACCAUGUGACCUACCCAUGAGCAGGUUGAAGGUGCGGUAAGACGCACUGGAGGACCGAACCAGGGCACGUUGAAAAGUGCUUGGAUGACUUGUGGGUAGCGGAGAAAUUCCAAACGAACUUGGAGAUAGCUGGUUCUCUCCGAAAUAGCUUUAGGGCUAGCGUCGACAUAAAGAUUCUUGGAGGUAGAGCACUGUUUGGGUGAGGGGUCCAUCCCGGAUUACCAAUCUCAGAUAAACUCCGAAUGCCAAUGAAUUAUGGUCGGCAGUCAGACUGCGAGUGCUAAGAUCCGUAGUCGAAAGGGAAACAGCCCAGACCACCAGCUAAGGUCCCAAAAUAAUUGUUAAGUGGAAAAGGAUGUGGGGUUGCACAGACAACUAGGAUGUUAGCUUAGAAGCAGCUAUUCAUUCAAAGAGUGCGUAAUAGCUCACUAGUCGAGUGACCCUGCGCCGAAAAUGUACCGGGGCUAAAACAAUUUACCGAAGCUGUGGAUACCUUUAUAGGUAUGGUAGGAGAGCGUUCUAUGUGUGAUGAAGGUAUACCGUGAGGAGUGCUGGAACGCAUAGAAGUGAGAAUGCCGGUAUGAGUAGCGAAAGACAGGUGAGAAUCCUGUCCACCGUAAGACUAAGGUUUCCAGGGGAAGGCUCGUCCGCCCUGGGUUAGUCGGGACCUAAGGAGAGACCGAAAGGUGUAUCCGAUGGACAACAGGUUGAUAUUCCUGUACUAGAGUAUGUAGUGAUGGAGGGACGCAGUAGGCUAACUAAAGCAGACGAUUGGAAGUGUCUGUCUAAGCAGUGAGGUGUGAUAUGAGUCAAACGCUUAUAUCUAUAACAUUGAGCUGUGAUGGGGAGCGAAGUUUAGUAGCGAAGUUAGUGACGUCACACUGCCAAGAAAAGCUUCUAGCGUUUAAACAUACUCUACCCGUACCGCAAACCGACACAGGUAGUCGAGGCGAGUAGCCUCAGGUGAGCGAGAGAACUCUCGUUAAGGAACUCGGCAAAAUGACCCCGUAACUUCGGGAGAAGGGGUGCUGACAGAGAUGUCAGCCGCAGUGAAUAGGCCCAGGCGACUGUUUAUCAAAAACACAGGUCUCUGCAAAAUCGAAAGAUGACGUAUAGGGGCUGACGCCUGCCCGGUGCUGGAAGGUUAAGAGGAGAGGUUAGCGCAAGCGAAGCUUUGAAUUGAAGCCCCAGUAAACGGCGGCCGUAACUAUAACGGUCCUAAGGUAGCGAAAUUCCUUGUCGGGUAAGUU
This 1961-nucleotide ribosomal RNA is filed under the name Prevotella sp. Its description in RNAcentral is "partial 23S ribosomal RNA". It matches the Rfam family "Bacterial large subunit ribosomal RNA", at positions 1 to 1982 of the family's 2925-position model. The record is from RNAcentral. Lineage: Bacteria; Pseudomonadati; Bacteroidota; Bacteroidia; Bacteroidales; Prevotellaceae.